RNAcentral lists this long non-coding RNA (317 nucleotides) under Mytilus galloprovincialis (Mediterranean mussel). The record is from RNAcentral. Lineage: Eukaryota; Metazoa; Mollusca; Bivalvia; Mytilida; Mytilidae.
CUCCAGAAGACAUGGACGUAAUUCAAAGAAGACUAACCGACAUUCAAAGAAUAGAGAAACAAAAUUUCAAAGCUAAACAAAAUAAAAAGUUCAAACGAGACCGUUUAAACCAACAAAGUUCCGUUUUUGAAGAAGAUCAAAUUUUAAACUUGUUAAAAGAGAGUAAAUCAAAACAACCGAGGAAAAGACGUUUUAAAAAACAGAAACACACAGUUCAAGAUAAGUUAGUUGUCAAUCUGUCAUCAAUAGAACUAACUACCUCUGAAGAAAAACUAUUGAGUAAAGGCCUUAAUUUCUGUCCAGCUCCAGCAACCGUC